UACGGGGCAGCAGUGGGGAAUAUUGCACAAUGGGCGCAAGCCUGAUGCAGCCAUGCCGCGUGUAUGAAAAAGGCCUUCGGGUUGUAAAGUACUUUCAGUCGUGAGGAAGGUGUUAAGGUUAAUAACCUUAGCAAUUGACGUUAGCGACAGAAGAAGCACCGGCUAACUCCGUGCCAGCAGCCGCGGUAAUACGGAGGGUGCGAGCGUUAAUCGGAAUUACUGGGCGUAAAGGGCACGCAGGCGGUUAAUUAAGUUGGAUGUGAAAUCCCCGGGCUUAACCUGGGAAUGGCAUUCAAGACUGGUUAGCUAGAGUCUUGUAGAGGGGGGUAGAAUUCCAUGUGUAGCGGUGAAAUGCGUAGAGAUGUGGAGGAAUACCGGUGGCGAAGGCGGCCCCUGGACAAAGACUGACGCUCAUGUGCGAAAGCGUGGGGAGCGAAACAGGGAUUAGAUA
RNAcentral lists this ribosomal RNA (451 nucleotides) under uncultured bacterium. RNAcentral's name for it is "bacterial SSU rRNA". It matches the Rfam family "Bacterial small subunit ribosomal RNA", at positions 340 to 784 of the family's 1533-position model. The record is from RNAcentral.